UUAAACUUUUGGCUGCUGGUCUUCUUGGAUGAGACUCCCAGAGUUGGAUGGAAUUGUGAAGCCAUGACAAGCCAUUAUUCCAUGGCCAGUGGAACCCCUCUGCAGUGCUGGCUGCCAAGCUGUGCUGAUCUGCUCAGCACAUACAACAUGGCCUGGAAAUUGGAAAGGGUGGUGUCCUCCAUGGAGCUGUCCCAAGGGCCCAACUACUAGAAGGUAUGAGAAAUCAAGGUGAACCUACUAAGACUACCUGCAAAGAAAGGAAGAAAAGAGUUCUUCAGGUCUGAAUCAGUGCUAGAAGCUUGUG
This is a long non-coding RNA of Marmota flaviventris (yellow-bellied marmot), 304 nucleotides long. RefSeq lists it as uncharacterized. The record is from RefSeq and is a predicted model, not a curated record. NCBI's taxonomy places the organism in Eukaryota, Metazoa, Chordata, Mammalia, Rodentia, Sciuridae.